GGCCUGGUAGUCUAGUAGUAUGAUGCUUCCUUCGGGUACAGGUGCAAAAUAAUUGCGAUCCCAUCGCGUUUGCGAUAUCACUGGAAGAGGUCCCGGGUUCAAUUCCCGGCCAGGCCC
Non-coding RNA from Collybiopsis luxurians FD-317 M1, 117 nucleotides. The record is from the annotation of a GenBank genome assembly. NCBI's taxonomy places the organism in Eukaryota, Fungi, Basidiomycota, Agaricomycetes, Agaricales, Omphalotaceae.